Non-coding RNA from Caenorhabditis elegans, 21 nucleotides. The record is from Ensembl. Lineage: Eukaryota; Metazoa; Nematoda; Chromadorea; Rhabditida; Rhabditidae.
UCCGUAUGGUACAAUAGGAAG